RNAcentral lists this long non-coding RNA (217 nucleotides) under Elaeis guineensis (African oil palm). Its description in RNAcentral is "long non-coding RNA (EGUI_LNC036072)". Lineage: Eukaryota; Viridiplantae; Streptophyta; Magnoliopsida; Arecales; Arecaceae. The record is from RNAcentral.
UGAAAAUGAAAGAGAAUAUCAUAUAGUAUGUAUUGCUAAAAAAUAUAUGCUGAAUAUGAAGAAGGAAAAGAAUAUUUUAAUCAUAAAACUAAUAAUUUUAUUAGUAAAUUUUUUUUAAUUUUUUAAUUUAUUUUUUAAAAUUAAUAUUAAGAGAAAUACAUCUGCCCCAUAUGAUAUUUUAUAGUGCCUGCCCCAUAUGAUUUUUGUCCCCGGCCCC